UCCCAGCAAUGGUGGAUUAGCUUGCUUCAGACUGACUCCUGCUAUGAACAAGAAAAAUUGGUCAAACUUAUUUUAAAAAACAACCCUGUUUGAAGGUAAGCCAGACCAUGGGAGCAGCAGAGGCCUAAGGACUCGCAGUUGUGGAAAAGACUGGAAGCUUAGAGAGGUGAUAGAACGUUCUCUUUCAAGACCCUGUGCCUUAUUGGCAUAGGUUCACUGCUCACAGGCUACAGACUACCUUGGGUUGACUGUACUGAUGGCGGUGGCUUGGCUACAGCCUUUGAGCAGUAGUACCCUGAUGAAAUACUGCAUAUCUUCUGUGUGAAAACUCAGACCUGACAGCUAAAAUGGCAGAAGCAGCAGCUUGCACUCAGUACUGAGAAUUGGCUUCAGGACUCCAGUCGCUGGGAGGAAUCGGCAUUGAGCACCAUGGGAAACAAAGCCAGAGAGGAAAGACAGACCACACAGCCCACGAAGCCAUUACUGUGACCUCACUUAACCCACACUAUUAGUUCUGAAAGCUGCUAAUCCCCAAGUGGAUGGACCAUCACCAGUGUCCCCCUCCAUGCCUCCCGGUACUGGGGAGAUCAGUUGUGAUUCCCACUUGUGCCCCAAACCCUCAACUCCUCCUGUGCCUAUGACACGUGCUCCCGGCAUCCCACGCACUGGGAAAGUCAGAUGUGUCUCUGCCACCUCUGUGCACUUCACUUAGGGUGAGAACAGUCACAGAACCACACUGUAACGGGACCUGACAACAUUACAAUAAAGUCUUUCUUGGGCUUCUUUUAUGCCACAAAAUUAGCAAGCAGGACCGUUUCUGUACACAAAAUAAUACAUCUCACAUUUCACUUCUCGUACACGUUUCUAAGGAGGCCCUUUGCCCAGAAGGUGGGGCUUUCUUCUUCGCACGAACCUGAUGAUCAGGAGACAUUUGUGUAUGGUAUAUUGUU
Long non-coding RNA from Mesocricetus auratus (golden hamster), 950 nucleotides. RefSeq lists it as uncharacterized. The record is from RefSeq and is a predicted model, not a curated record. NCBI's taxonomy places the organism in Eukaryota, Metazoa, Chordata, Mammalia, Rodentia, Cricetidae. The transcript is spliced from 4 exons.